GAUGAACGCUGGCGGCGUGCCUAAUACAUGCAAGUCGAGCGAACAGACGAGGAGCUUGCUCCUCUGACGUUAGCGGCGGACGGGUGAGUAACACGUGAUAACCUACCUAUAAGACUGGGAUAACUUCGGGAAACCGGGCCUAAUACCGGAUAAUAUAUUGAACCGCUUGGUUGAAUAGUGAAGGACGGGUGUGCUGGCACUUACAGAUGGAUCCGCGCCGUAUUAGUUAGUUGGUAAGGUAACGGCUUGCCAAGGCAACGAUGCGUAGACGACCUGAGAGGGUGAUCGCCCACCCUGGAGCUGAGACACGGUCCAGACUCCUACGGGAGGCACCAGUAGGGAAUCUGCCGCAAUGGUCGAAAGCCUGACGGAGCAACGCCGCGUCAGUGACGAAGGUCUUCGGAUCGUAAAGCUCUGUUAUUAGGGAAGAACAAAUGUGUCAGUAACUAUGCACUGCUUGACGGUACCUAAUCAGAAAGCCACGGCUAACUACGUG
Molecule: ribosomal RNA, 496 nt
Filed under: uncultured bacterium
Lineage: Bacteria
Description: partial 16S ribosomal RNA
Rfam family: Bacterial small subunit ribosomal RNA
Source: RNAcentral